This 288-nucleotide ribosomal RNA is filed under the name Triticum aestivum (bread wheat). RNAcentral's name for it is "partial small subunit ribosomal RNA". Lineage: Eukaryota; Viridiplantae; Streptophyta; Magnoliopsida; Poales; Poaceae. The record is from RNAcentral.
AUGCCACUGGACUUCACGAAGCACUUCCCGGCCCUGCCCACAGAGUUCAAGCUCAGGAAGAACACCGACUGCUCAUGGAGGGUGACUGUCCGGCUGAUGGACGACAGGUUCACCCUUGAUCAGGGUUGGGCCCCCUUCGUCGUCGUCCAUCAGAUCAGGAUCGACUACAUGGUGACGUUCAAGCUGCUCACUCCCUAGAUGCUCAAGGUCAUCGUCUUCAACGACGACGGCAUUCAAGUGGUGACCAAGUGCGGGAGGCACGACGACGCCUUUGCCGUGAACGUCUAG